This 474-nucleotide ribosomal RNA is filed under the name uncultured bacterium. RNAcentral's name for it is "bacterial SSU rRNA". It matches the Rfam family "Bacterial small subunit ribosomal RNA", at positions 28 to 474 of the family's 1533-position model. The record is from RNAcentral.
GACGAACGCNGGCGGCGUGCUUAACACAUGCAAGUCGAACGAAGAGCGAUGGAAGCUUGCUUCUAUCAAUCUUAGUGGCGAACGGGUGAGUAACGCGUAAUCAACCUGCCCUUCAGAGGGGGACAACAGUUGGAAGCGACUGCUAAUACCGCAUACGAUCUAACCUCGGCAUCGAGGAUAGAUGAAAGGUGGCCUCUACAUGUAAGCUAUCACUGAAGGAGGGGAUUGCGUCUGAUUAGCUAGUUGGAGGGGUAACGGCCCACCAAGGCGAUGAUCAGUAGCCGGUCUGAGAGGAUGAACGGCCACAUUGGGACUGAGACACGGCCCAGACUCCUACGGGAGGCAGCAGUGGGGAAUCUUCCGCAAUGGACGAAAGUCUGACGGAGCAACGCCGCGUGAGUGAUGACGGCCUUCGGGUUGUAAAGCUCUGUUAAUCGGGACGAAAGNCCUCUNCGAAUAGUGAGGAGGAUGANG